UACGUAGGCAGCGAGCGUUGUUCGGAAUUACUGGGCGUAAAGAGUGUGUAGGCGGUGCUCUAAGUUCGGUGUGAAAUCUCCUGGCUCAACUGGGAGGGUGCGCCGGAAACUGGAGUGCUUGAGCGUGGGAGAGGAAUGCGGAAUUCCAGGUGUAGCGGUGAAAUGCGUAGAUAUCAGGAGGAACACCGAUGGCGAAGGCGGCCAACUGGACGAAUACUGACGCUGAGACUCGAAAGCGUGGGGAGCAAACAGG
This 253-nucleotide ribosomal RNA is filed under the name uncultured bacterium. Its description in RNAcentral is "partial 16S ribosomal RNA". It matches the Rfam family "Bacterial small subunit ribosomal RNA", at positions 524 to 776 of the family's 1533-position model. The record is from RNAcentral.